RNAcentral lists this ribosomal RNA (253 nucleotides) under uncultured bacterium. Its description in RNAcentral is "partial 16S ribosomal RNA". It matches the Rfam family "Bacterial small subunit ribosomal RNA", at positions 524 to 776 of the family's 1533-position model. The record is from RNAcentral.
UACGGGGGGGGCAAGCGUUGUUCGGAAUCACUGGGCGUAAAGGGCGCGUAGGCGGCUUUAUAAGUCGGGGGUGAAAGCCUGUGGCUCAACCACAGAAUUGCCUUCGAUACUGUAUGGCUAGAGGCCGGAAGAGGUAAGUGGAACUGCGAGUGUAGAGGUGAAAUUCGUAGAUAUUCGCAAGAACACCAGUGGCGAAGGCGGCUUACUGGUCCGGUUCUGACGCUGAGGCGCGAAAGCGUGGGGAGCAAACAGG